CCCUCUGGGUCCAACCUCCCACCCGUGUUUAUUUUACCUUGUUGCUUCGGCGGGCCCGCCUUAACUGGCCGCCGGGGGGCUUACGCCCCCGGGCCCGCGCCCGCCGAAGACACCCUCGAACUCUGUCUGAAGAUUGUAGUCUGAGUGAAAAUAUAAAUUAUUUAAAACUUUCAACAACGGAUCUCUUGGUUCCGGCAUCGAUGAAGAACGCAGCGAAAUGCGAUACGUAAUGUGAAUUGCAAAUUCAGUGAAUCAUCGAGUCUUUGAACGCACAUUGCGCCCCCUGGUAUUCCGGGGGGCAUGCCUGUCCGAGCGUCAUUGCUGCCCUCAAGCACGGCUUGUGUGUUGGGCCCCGUCCUCCGAUCCCGGGGGACGGGCCCGAAAGGCAGCGGCGGCACCGCGUCCGGUCCUCGAGCGUAUGGGGCUUUGUCACCCGCUCUGUAGGCCCGGCCGGCGCUUGCCGAUCAACCCAAAUUUUUAUCCAGGUUGACCUCGGAUCAGGUAGGGAUACCCGCUGAACUUAAGCAUAUCAAUAAGCGGAGGAAAAGAAACCAACAGGGAUUGCCCCAGUAACGGCGAGUGAAGCGGCAAGAGCUCAAAUUUGAAAGCUGGCUCCUUCGGGGUCCGCAUUGUAAUUUGUAGAGGAUGCUUCGGGAGCGGUCCCCAUCUAAGUGCCCUGGAACGGGACGUCAUAGAGGGUGAGAAUCCCGUAUGGGAUGGGGUGUCCGCGCCCGUGUGAAGCUCCUUCGACGAGUCGAGUUGUUUGGGAAUGCAGCUCUAAAUGGGUGGUAAAUUUCAUCUAAAGCUAAAUAUUGGCCGGAGACCGAUAGCGCACAAGUAGAGUGAUCGAAAGAUGAAAAGCACUUUGAAAAGAGAGUUAAAAAGCACGUGAAAUUGUUGAAAGGGAAGCGCUUGCGACCAGACUCGCUCGCGGGGUUCAGCCGGCAUUCGUGCCGGUGUACUUCCCCGCGGGCGGGCCAGCGUCGGUUUGGGCGGUCGGUCAAAGGCCCUCGGAAGGUAACGCCCCUAGGGGCGUCUUAUAGCCGAGGGUGCAAUGCGACCUGCCUAGACCGA
RNAcentral lists this ribosomal RNA (1074 nucleotides) under Eurotiales sp. AK1621. RNAcentral describes it as "eukaryotic LSU rRNA". The stretch from base 488 to 1074 matches the Rfam family "Eukaryotic large subunit ribosomal RNA", at positions 1 to 592 of the family's 3401-position model. The record is from RNAcentral. Lineage: Eukaryota; Fungi; Ascomycota; Eurotiomycetes; Eurotiales.